RNAcentral lists this ribosomal RNA (2933 nucleotides) under Escherichia coli. Its description in RNAcentral is "23S ribosomal RNA". It matches the Rfam family "Bacterial large subunit ribosomal RNA". Lineage: Bacteria; Pseudomonadati; Pseudomonadota; Gammaproteobacteria; Enterobacterales; Enterobacteriaceae. The record is from RNAcentral.
GGGUUGUGAGGUUAAGCGACUAAGCGUACACGGUGGAUGCCCUGGCAGUCAGAGGCGAUGAAGGACGUGCUAAUCUGCGAUAAGCGUCGGUAAGGUGAUAUGAACCGUUAUAACCGGCGAUUUCCGAAUGGGGAAACCCAGUGUGUUUCGACACACUAUCAUUAACUGAAUCCAUAGGUUAAUGAGGCGAACCGGGGGAACUGAAACAUCUAAGUACCCCGAGGAAAAGAAAUCAACCGAGAUUCCCCCAGUAGCGGCGAGCGAACGGGGAGGAGCCCAGAGCCUGAAUCAGUGUGUGUGUUAGUGGAAGCGUCUGGAAAGGCGCGCGAUACAGGGUGACAGCCCCGUACACAAAAAUGCACAUGCUGUGAGCUCGAUGAGUAGGGCGGGACACGUGGUAUCCUGUCUGAAUAUGGGGGGACCAUCCUCCAAGGCUAAAUACUCCUGACUGACCGAUAGUGAACCAGUACCGUGAGGGAAAGGCGAAAAGAACCCCGGCGAGGGGAGUGAAAAAGAACCUGAAACCGUGUACGUACAAGCAGUGGGAGCACAGAGCAAUCUGUGUGACUGCGUACCUUUUGUAUAAUGGGUCAGCGACUUAUAUUCUGUAGCAAGGUUAACCGAAUAGGGGAGCCGAAGGGAAACCGAGUCUUAACUGGGCGUUAAGUUGCAGGGUAUAGACCCGAAACCCGGUGAUUCAGCCAUGGGCAGGUUGAAGGUUGGGUAACACUAACUGGAGGACCGAACCGACUAAUGUUGAAAAAUUAGCGGAUGACUUGUGGCUGGGGGUGAAAGGCCAAUCAAACCGGGAGAUAGCUGGUUCUCCCCGAAAGCUAUUUAGGUAGCGCCUCGUGAAUUCAUCUCCGGGGGUAGAGCACUGUUUCGGCAAGGGGGUCAUCCCGACUUACCAACCCGAUGCAAACUGCGAAUACCGGAGAAUGUUAUCACGGGAGACACACGGCGGGUGCUAACGUCCGUCGUGAAGAGGGAAACAACCCAGACCGCCAGCUAAGGUCCCAAAGUCAUGGUUAAGUGGGAAACGAUGUGGGAAGGCCCAGACAGCCAGGAUGUUGGCUUAGAAGCAGCCAUCAUUUAAAGAAAGCGUAAUAGCUCACUGGUCGAGUCGGCCUGCGCGGAAGAUGUAACGGGGCUAAACCAUGCACCGAAGCUGCGGCAGCGACACUGUGUGUUGUUGGGUAGGGGAGCGUUCUGUAAGCCUGUGAAGGUGUGCUGUGAGGCAUGCUGGAGGUAUCAGAAGUGCGAAUGCUGACAUAAGUAACGAUAAAGCGGGUGAAAAGCCCGCUCGCCGGAAGACCAAGGGUUCCUGUCCAACGUUAAUCGGGACAGGGUGAGUCGACCCCUAAGGCGAGGCCGAAAGGCGUAGUCGAUGGGAAACAGGUUAAUAUUCCUGUACUUGGUGUUACUGCGAAGGGGGGACGGAGAAGGCUAUGUUGGCCGGGCGACGGUUGUCCCGGUUUAAGCGUGUAGGCUGGUUUUCCAGGCAAAUCCGGAAAAUCAAGGCUGAGGCGUGAUGACGAGGCACUACGGUGCUGAAGCAACAAAUGCCCUGCUUCCGGUGAAAAGCCUCUAAGCAUCAGGUAACAUCAAAUCGUACCCCAAACCGACACAGGUGGUCAGGUAGAGAAUACCAAGGCGCUUGAGAGAACUCGGGUGAAGGAACUAGGCAAAAUGGUGCCGUAACUUCGGGAGAAGGCACGCUGAUAUGUAGGUGAAGUCCCUCGCGGAUGGAGCUGAAAUCAGUCGAAGAUACCAGCUGGCUGCAACUGUUUAUUAAAAACACAGCACUGUGCAAACACGAAAGUGGACGUAUACGGUGUGACGCCUGCCCGGUGCCGGAAGGUUAAUUGAUGGGGUCAGCGCAAGCGAAGCUCUUGAUCGAAGCCCCGGUAAACGGCGGCCGUAACUAUAACGGUCCUAAGGUAGCGAAAUUCCUUGUCGGGUAAGUUCCGACCUGCACGAAUGGCGUAAUGAUGGCCAGGCUGUCUCCACCCGAGACUCAGUGAAAUUGAACUCGCUGUGAAGAUGCAGUGUACCCGCGGCAAGACGGAAAGACCCCGUGAACCUUUACUAUAGCUUGACACUGAACAUUGAGCCUUGAUGUGUAGGAUAGGUGGGAGGCUUUGAAGUGUGGACGCCAGUCUGCAUGGAGCCGACCUUGAAAUACCACCCUUUAAUGUUUGAUGUUCUAACGUGGACCCGUGAUCCGGGUUGCGGACAGUGUCUGGUGGGUAGUUUGACUGGGGCGGUCUCCUCCUAAAGAGUAACGGAGGAGCACGAAGGUUGGCUAAUCCUGGUCGGACAUCAGGAGGUUAGUGCAAUGGCAUAAGCCAGCUUGACUGCGAGCGUGACGGCGCGAGCAGGUGCGAAAGCAGGUCAUAGUGAUCCGGUGGUUCUGAAUGGAAGGGCCAUCGCUCAACGGAUAAAAGGUACUCCGGGGAUAACAGGCUGAUACCGCCCAAGAGUUCAUAUCGACGGCGGUGUUUGGCACCUCGAUGUCGGCUCAUCACAUCCUGGGGCUGAAGUAGGUCCCAAGGGUAUGGCUGUUCGCCAUUUAAAGUGGUACGCGAGCUGGGUUUAGAACGUCGUGAGACAGUUCGGUCCCUAUCUGCCGUGGGCGCUGGAGAACUGAGGGGGGCUGCUCCUAGUACGAGAGGACCGGAGUGGACGCAUCACUGGUGUUCGGGUUGUCAUGCCAAUGGCACUGCCCGGUAGCUAAAUGCGGAAGAGAUAAGUGCUGAAAGCAUCUAAGCACGAAACUUGCCCCGAGAUGAGUUCUCCCUGACCCUUUAAGGGUCCUGAAGGAACGUUGAAGACGACGACGUUGAUAGGCCGGGUGUGUAAGCGCAGCGAUGCGUUGAGCUAACCGGUACUAAUGAACCGUGAGGCUUAACCUUACAACGCCGAAGGUGUUU